Molecule: long non-coding RNA, 1585 nt
Filed under: Lytechinus variegatus (green sea urchin)
Lineage: Eukaryota; Metazoa; Echinodermata; Echinoidea; Temnopleuroida; Toxopneustidae
Description: uncharacterized LOC121417000
Source: RNAcentral
UUUCUUCAAAAUACUCUUAUUUACAAAUAACCUCCAAAUCGCGGAGCUCAUAUUAAAAAAAGAAAAUCGCAAAAAAAAGUUUGGACAUACAAAAAAGUGACAAGCAUUUUUCAUUUGAACAAUGUUACAGAGCAUUUAGCCUACAUACAAACAUACAAUCACAUACACUAUCAUUAUACAAGAUAAUUACUAAUGUUCUACACAAUUUGACAUUAAAUCUACAUUGUACAAUAUUUAAAUAGCAUUGUAAGAAAAAAAUACUUAACUUAGUCCACUUUUCUUUCCCAAACAUAUCAAUAAAUGUUCAGCAUUCUCCUAACAGGGAAUUCCCCAUCAUGUAUAUAAUACAAUAAACUGUAGAUGAAACCGUUUGAUUCAUUUCUACACGUGUAAAUUUAUUCACACGUUACAGUGGGAAUCAGUCCCACCGUUUGCUUCCUUAAAUUGGCAAUGCUCAAUUGGUCAAUUACAUUUCAUAAUCACACUCCAAUUUUCAUGAAUGUGAACUCUUCAAACAAAAUACCUGUAAAGAAACCCCAAUUGAAUCUACAUAUUGUUACAGUGGGAAUCAGUCCCACCGUUCGCUUCCUUAAAUUGGCAAUGCUCAAUUGGUCAAUUACAUUUCAUAAUCACACUCCAAUUUUCAUGAAUGUGCACUCUUCAAACAAAAUACCUGUAAAGAAACCCCAAUUGAAUCUACAUAUUAUUACAGUGGGAAUCAGUCCCACCGUUCGCUUCCUUAAAUUGGCAAUGCUCAUUUGGUCAAUUACAUUUCAUAAUCACACUCCAAUUUUCAAGAAUGUGAAUUCUACAGAGAGAAAUCCCUGAUUGAAUCUACACUGAACUUCUUCAAGGGAUUCAUCUAAACAAAUUAGGUCUAUGAACCUCACCUUAUGGUUUGAAUUUACAUCCCUGAUUUUCUUGUUACAUUACCAUGAAAAUUAGACUAUUAUCACUCCAAAGCCAGCCUAUUCCUAUUGUUUAAAUCUAUUUGAUAGUCCAAGUGGCUGAUGAAGGACGCCCCCCCCCUCCCUCCUCCGGGAAAAGUAGAAAAAUUUGAUAUUUUUGUUAGAAAGGCCACCUGAAGCAUGUAAAGAAAAAUUUGCCCCCCCCCUCCUAGUAACAUCAAGUAGUCUGAUGGGUUACACUUCAUAAUUCCGAAGGUUCUUUAUUCCGAAGGUUCGUAAUUCCAAAACACGUAAAUUGCCUAUACCUCGAUUUUCGUUAAUCCGAAAACGUAAAAGGGUUCGUUAAUCCGAACAUUUGUGGCGUCAUUCCAAAGGUUUGAUAUUCCAAAACGAAAUAAGGUUUGAUGUUCCGAAGCUUCGGAAUUACGAAUGUAUGCGGUCUGAUGAACUUUUUUGUGCUUUCAUCAUAUUUUCUCCUCCACAGGGAAAAGUCAGAAAUGUGGUAUGACUUUUGACCUCCUUAUUGAAAUUUUGGUUUCAUUCUACCCAAUCGGGGCACAAAAUUUAUCAAGCAUCGACUACAAUGUAUAAUCAAUCAUAAAAUCAAGCAUACAAUCAAUCGCGUACCUUUGUGUUACAGGACACAGGCUGUCCAUGAUGAUUAAUGCAAUUUAUUG